UACGUAGGGACCAAGCGUUGUUCGGAUUUACUGGGCGUAAAGGGCGCGUAGGCGGCGCGGUAAGUCACUUGUGAAAUCUCUGAGCUUAACUCAGAACGGCCAAGUGAUACUGCAGUGCUAGAGUGUGGAAGGGGCAAUCGGAAUUCUUGGUGUAGCGGUGAAAUGCGUAGAUAUCAAGAGGAACGCCUGAGGUGAAGACGGGUUGCUGGGCCAACACUGACGCUGAGGCGCGAAAGCCAGGGGAGCAAACGGG
Molecule: ribosomal RNA, 253 nt
Filed under: uncultured bacterium
Lineage: Bacteria
Description: partial 16S ribosomal RNA
Rfam family: Bacterial small subunit ribosomal RNA
Source: RNAcentral